GAAACCACCAUUAAAUUCUAGAGGCAAAAAUAAAGGGGUUGAUGUUUGACAUUUUCUCAAAAUAAUAAAAAUAAGAGGGUUAAAAAAUAAAUCAAAAGGAAAAUAAAAAUGAAAAAAUAAAUAAACCAAAAUAACACAAAAAUGGAAAAAUGUGGCCAGGGUGCACACAAUGGGUUCGAACCCCUGACCUUGGGGUCAUGGGGGAUCUAUCCCCCCACCCAUUAGGCCAAUGGCCUAGUUGGGAUAAUAAAACACGCUCAUAAGAAUAAAUAAGAGAAACAAUAAAUAAAUGGACUUUGCUUGCAUGAGAACUAAUUACAGUGUGACAACACCAUUAUUCAAAUUCAAAAAAUGCGAGAAAC
RNAcentral lists this long non-coding RNA (362 nucleotides) under Lathyrus oleraceus (garden pea). RNAcentral describes it as "Pisum sativum (pea) long non-coding RNA (PSAT_LNC019530)". Lineage: Eukaryota; Viridiplantae; Streptophyta; Magnoliopsida; Fabales; Fabaceae. The record is from RNAcentral.